CCUGGUGGCUGCAGUGGCAGGUUGGCGUGGCUGGGUGCAGGAGGACAUUCCUAAAAGCUGUGGGCAAGCGCGGUUGUGGACAGGAGUGAUCGCGCUGCGGCUGGUACCUGGAUGUGGAGUAUAGCCGCAGGGAUUGCACCAGUGGCUGCCCCUCCUCCUCUACUCCGGAUAGCACGGCGCGUUGCCGGCACGG
Melanotaenia boesemani (Boeseman's rainbowfish) is the source of this 193-nucleotide long non-coding RNA. RefSeq lists it as uncharacterized. The transcript has 3 exons. The record is from RefSeq and is a predicted model, not a curated record. NCBI's taxonomy places the organism in Eukaryota, Metazoa, Chordata, Actinopteri, Atheriniformes, Melanotaeniidae.